UUUUAUAAGAAAUUAAAUAGAGUUAAAAUCUAGAGUCUUCUAAAAGAAAUCAGAUCUCUCUUCCUCUGCUGAGUGCUCACACGCGUUCUCUCUCUCUUUCUCAGUUCUCUCAGCUGCGUCUCUCACUCUCCCUCUCCUUUUCGCCCAGCGAGGCCGGCUCCUCUCCUUCCUCCCCCUCUUCUUCCUCUUUCUUCCCUAUUUUCUCUCAAAUCUCUAAAAUUCCUAACUUAUAUAUGUAGGGUUUCUGUCUCUCUUUUCCCCUCUGAGAUUCGUCCCUCCGGUAAUCCCUGCUGCACCGCCGCCGUCUCCAUCCCAGGUAUGUCCCUUCUUUCUCCCUCUCAAUCCUUCUCUCAUCUGUUUCUCUGUCCGUGUCUCAGUCUCUAUCUUACUCUCUAUCUCUCUCGCUCAAACUCUCUCUGUUGUGGUGGCCACCGCGGAACGCCGUGGCAUGGGCAGCGCCGGCGGUCGCUGACGUCAGUUGCUCCGCCGCGGUGGCUCGCGGCUGCUGCUGCCGUCCCUUCCCUUUGUUUAAUUCUUUCCCUUUUUCUUACUUAUUCCUAUUUAAUACCUCAUAAUAAUAAAUCUCUAACUAUUUCCCUAUUUCUCGAAUCGUUGAUUCGAGAUAUCUCCACGUGACAACUCUCCUGACAUCGCUGCUCAAUUCAAGACUGUACCUUUCUUCCUUUCUUUUUAUUUAUCUGGUUUCUUGUUCAGCUGUUGAAAAUUAGGAUUUUGAGUGCUGUUAUAAAUUGUGUUUCUAUCUACUUGGUGUAGCUAUUAUUCAUCUCUACAAAUCUUAGUUGCUGCUCUUUACAUAACGAAUUAUGGAACUGAAUAAAAGGAAUACUACCUGCUUUAGUGAAUUCCGC
RNAcentral lists this long non-coding RNA (869 nucleotides) under Salvia miltiorrhiza (redroot sage). RNAcentral's name for it is "long non-coding RNA (SMIL_LNC003738)". The record is from RNAcentral. Lineage: Eukaryota; Viridiplantae; Streptophyta; Magnoliopsida; Lamiales; Lamiaceae.